This 231-nucleotide ribosomal RNA is filed under the name uncultured eukaryote. RNAcentral's name for it is "partial 18S ribosomal RNA". It matches the Rfam family "Eukaryotic small subunit ribosomal RNA", at positions 1299 to 1458 of the family's 1831-position model. The record is from RNAcentral.
UGGUGGAUUGAUUUGUCUGCUUAAUUGCGAUAACGAACGAGACUCUAGCCUACUUUAAAUACGUAGGCGGACUUGGUUGUGUGCGUCCCGCUUUCUUGGCUUCGGCUGGGGGUGAGCGCCGCAGCUCAAGUUGCGUCUAAACGCCCAGUGUUGCUUCGGCUCGCUGGGAAACUUCUUAGAGGGACCCGAGUUGAUAAUUAACAUUCAAACUCAUGAAGUGGAGCAAUAACA